Molecule: long non-coding RNA, 1499 nt
Organism: Sinocyclocheilus grahami
Lineage: Eukaryota; Metazoa; Chordata; Actinopteri; Cypriniformes; Cyprinidae
Exons: 3
Source: RefSeq, a predicted model, not a curated record
CCUGGGAUUUUUUCACGCAACUUUAUAAAAAAAGAAGCCCAAAGUCGGGUAUAAUACGCGGAUUUGGCAACUAUAAUUACACUGUAAAAACAACCUGGAGAGGGCAGAAUUCAGAGAAAAGAGCAACUCUCAGACAACGACAGGCUGGCCCUGGAAGAUGAGAUGACCACAUUGAAUGAAAGAAUACCGAAAUACGAAAAGGAGCUGCAGGUGCUGAGAGUAGAGACCAGGAAGAACAUGAUGCUGUCCGUCGCUCUGUUAGCCAUCAGUGCUCUUUUCUGCUACACAUUUAUUUAUUAAGAAGUAUUUUCUGUCAUGCCAAACACUGUCUGAGAAUGAGAUUUGGGGACGCUGAUGUUUAUUCAUACCCAUCCGUGUUCAUCAUUUGGCAACACUGGUUUGCUCAGAGGUUGUGGAUUUGUCAGUGUCGUUUUUGCCAUAAAUACCUUAUGCCAUCUUCAUCUUGGCCUCGACAUCCUGGAUUGCCUCAACUCUAUAUUUUGUUUGCCGUGUAACAAAGAGACAUUAGAUGCUUGUGCAUCAGAAAGAGACACAGAAUUGGGAUUAUGUAUGUUUAUAUGAUCCUCAUUGUCAAGCACUUUACCUAAUAAUGACUAAAUUAUGUUUCUCUCCAGAUCACUGUUUAUUGCAUUUCAACAGGACUAACAUGCACAAAGGUGGGAGGGGCAGAGGGUGUUAUUCCAUCCAAAAAUAAAAUUUAUCAACAAAAUGUUCAGAUGAAAUAAAAAACAGCCAUCGAUAAAAUGCAAUACUGUCCCAUUAAACUGCCGUUCAUCCCUUUGAUAUCCUUGAUACUUGUAGCAAAUAGUAUUGGUAAUACACUCACUUGUAAUACAACAAAACAGGCAGCCAGGUAUAUUUAACAGUUCAUUGAAAAAAUUUAAAUUUGCUCACUCACCCUCAGGACAUCCAAUAUGUCGACGAGUUUUUCUUCAUCAGGACAGAUUUGGUGAAAUUUGGCAUUACAUCACUUGCUCAGCAAUGGAUCCUCUGCAGUGAAUGUGUGCUGUCAGAAUGAGAGUCUAAACAGCUGAUAAAAACAUCACAAGUAAUCUACACCACUCCAGUACAUUAAUCAACAAUUUGUGAUUGAAAAGCUGCACGUAUGUAAGAAACAAAUCCAUCAUUGAGGCAUUUUAACUUUAAACCGUCAUUUCUGGCCUAAAUAUGAUGCAAUAAUCCAUAAUAACGCUUCCUCCAGUGAAAAAGGGUGUUCCUUGUUGUCCUCUCUCAUUGAAAUCCACCAAUAUUUGUUUAGAACUGUUUUGGUCUGUUGUAAAUGGUUUCAUAUGUGCCUUUUUCUCUCCUGAUUCAGAUGAGACGACUUUCACCGGAGAAAGCAAUUUUAUAGAUACGACUCAUAUUUUAGCCGAAAGCAACGUUUUGAAGUUACAACUGUUUUGAUGGAUUUGUUCCUUACAAACACACAUGUUUUUGUUUCAUGUUGAUUGAUGAACUGGAGUGGUGUGGAUUACUUG